CCUACGGGAGGCAGCAGUGGGGAAUUUUGGACAAUGGGCGCAAGCCUGAUCCAGCAAUGCCGCGUGAGUGAAGAAGGCCUUCGGGUUGUAAAGCUCUUUUGUCAGGGAAGAAACGGCAGUUUCUAAUACAGAUUGCUAAUGACGGUACCUGAAGAAUAAGCACCGGCUAACUACGUGCCAGCAGCCGCGGUAAUACGUAGGGUGCAAGCGUUAAUCGGAAUUACUGGGCGUAAAGCGUGCGCAGGCGGUUUUGUAAGUUUGUCGUGAAAUCCCCGGGCUCAACCUGGGAAUGGCGAUGAAGACUGCAAGGCUAGAAUCUGGCAGAGGGGGGUAGAAUUCCACGUGUAGCAGUGAAAUGCGUAGAGAUGUGGAGGAACACCGAUGGCGAAGGCAGCCCCCUGGGUCAAGAUUGACGCUCAUGCACGAAAGCGUGGGGAGCAAACAGGAUUAGAUACCCUGGUAGUCCACGCCCUAAACGAAUGUCUACUAGUUGUCGGGUUUUAAUUAAACUUGGUAACGCAGCUAACGCGUGAAGUAGACCGCCUGGGGAGGACGGUCGCAAGAUUAAAACUUACAAAUUAGAAGUAGUUAGNGNGNGAGAGCGACGACGACGACGAGGAGGAGGAG
Molecule: ribosomal RNA, 627 nt
Filed under: uncultured bacterium
Lineage: Bacteria
Description: bacterial SSU rRNA
Rfam family: Bacterial small subunit ribosomal RNA
Source: RNAcentral